Molecule: ribosomal RNA, 193 nt
Filed under: uncultured bacterium
Lineage: Bacteria
Description: partial 16S ribosomal RNA
Rfam family: Bacterial small subunit ribosomal RNA
Source: RNAcentral
CCUACGGGAGGCAGCAGUGGGAAUCUUGGACAAUGGGGGCAACCCCGAUCCAGCCAUGCCGCGUGUGUGAAGAAGGCCUUCGGGUUGUAAAGCACUUUCAGUAGGGAGGAAGGCUUACCGUUAAUAGCGGUGAGUACUUGACGUUACCUACAGAAGAAGCACCGGCUAAUUUCGUGCCAGCAGCCGCGGUAAU